Molecule: ribosomal RNA, 245 nt
Filed under: uncultured bacterium
Lineage: Bacteria
Description: partial 16S ribosomal RNA
Rfam family: Bacterial small subunit ribosomal RNA
Source: RNAcentral
GAACGCCUACGGGGCGCAGCAGUAGGGAAUCUUCCACAAUGGACGAAAGUCUGAUGGAGCAACGCCGCGUGAGUGAAGAAGGGUUUCGGCUCGUAAAGCUCUGUUGGUAGUGAAGAAAGAUAGAGGUAGUAACUGGCCUUUAUUUGACGGUAAUUACUUAGAAAGUCACGGCUAACUACGUGCCAGCAGCCGCGGUAAUACGUAGGUGGCAAGCGUUGUCCGGAUUUAUUUGGGGUAAAGCGAGU